Molecule: long non-coding RNA, 991 nt
Organism: Musa acuminata AAA Group (dessert banana)
Lineage: Eukaryota; Viridiplantae; Streptophyta; Magnoliopsida; Zingiberales; Musaceae
Exons: 3
Source: RefSeq, a predicted model, not a curated record
UACAGAACUGUGCAACAUAAUAUUCUUGAGUUAAUUUUACAUUAUGCUGAAUUUAUGGAGUUCAUUUUACAGAUAAAACUGGAAAUAGCCAAACAUUGAGUUGGAGAGAACGAAUUCAGAUAGCAGUGGAAGCCGCACAAGGUCUGGAGUAUCUACACAAGGGAUGUGUGCCACCUAUAAUCCAUAGAGAUGUGAAGACUAACAAUAUCCUCUUAACACAUGACUUUGAGGCAAAGGUAGCAGAUUUUGGGCUGUCAAAGCCUUUCCUGACCGAUGCCCAGACUCACGUAUCUACUGAUGUUGUGGCUGGCACUCCAGGAUACAUAGAUCCCGAGUACUCUGCUACUUUCCAGCUGACUGAAAAAAGUGAUGUAUACAGCUUCGGAGUUGUUCUUCUGGAACUGGUUACUGGUCAAUCAGCCGUGUUGGAUCAACCAAAAAGGUCACUUAGUCCAAUGGGUACUAUCGAGGCUAGCUGAAGCCGACAUCACUAAGGUGGCUGAUCCAAAACUCGGAGGGCAAUACGACAACUGCUCUGUCCUAAAGGUCAUUGAUUUAGCAAUGAGAUGUGUUGAUAUCUCUGCUCAUCAGAGGCCAACCAUGACCGAAGUGGUGAUGCGAUUGAAGGAGAACUUGCAACCAGAGAACAACGAUGGAAGUGACCCAAACGCAUAAGCUAUGUUUGCUUGUCUCUCAGUUUAGAGUUUCCGUUUGUCAAAUUUGUAAAUGUAAAAUUGUGUGAGAACAAAUUGUGUUUGGAUCAUAAUGUUUGAUGAGAGCUGGGUAGGCUCCAAAGUCUCCUAUGAGAAAUCAUUCAUCCAUGUAUGAGUACUGCCUGUGGACUUACUUGCAAGCAAGCAACAGGUGAUUCUUUCUCUUGUAACAGCAAACCAAAUGGUGUACAAACGCCGAUACUUUGUAUGGCUUAGAUGCAUGUUAGCGUACAUGUGGCUCUUAAAGAAAUCAAGUAAGAUGGAUUGGAUUUGGGUGA